This 477-nucleotide non-coding RNA is filed under the name Trichomalopsis sarcophagae. Its description in RNAcentral is "Eukaryotic small subunit ribosomal RNA". It matches the Rfam family "Eukaryotic small subunit ribosomal RNA", at positions 1356 to 1640 of the family's 1831-position model. Lineage: Eukaryota; Metazoa; Arthropoda; Insecta; Hymenoptera; Pteromalidae. The record is from Rfam by way of RNAcentral.
AAGCUAGAUUUAUUAUAAACUAAACGCGACGCGAUACGUUGUCAACCUUUAAAUCUAAUCUUAAAACUAACACACAGCCUGUCCAGGACUGCGAAGGUACUGCACUCUUCAGCGGCGACCACGCUCCGAGUCAGCCCGCCCCGAGGUAAACAGGUAACGAAGAAAGUUCGUCUUUCUUCUCCCUGGGCCGCACCUUUUACCAGUCCAUUCGACUGAGGGUGAGGAAAAGAGACCGCGAAACGAUCCUCUCGAUCGCCGCGUCGCAGCCAUACGUAGCAGCUUCUGAUAGGGGCUACGCUAGAGCUGACUAUCAGAGCUCGCAGCCGUGGGCAAAUCUCCGGUGAUUCGGUAACAAGGUCUGUGAUGCCCUUAGAAGGCCCGGGUAUACCGCUGAACCUCCUUCGUGCUAGGGAUUGGGGCUUGCCAUUAUUCCCCAUGAACGAGGAAUUCCCAGUAAGCGCGAGUCAUAAGCUCGCG